This 486-nucleotide ribosomal RNA is filed under the name uncultured bacterium. RNAcentral describes it as "partial 16S ribosomal RNA". It matches the Rfam family "Bacterial small subunit ribosomal RNA", at positions 30 to 507 of the family's 1533-position model. The record is from RNAcentral.
AUUGAACGCUGGCGGCAUGCCUUACACAUGCAAGUCGAACGGCAGCACGGGUGCUUGCACCUGGUGGCGAGUGGCGAACGGGUGAGUAAUACAUCGGAACAUGUCCUGUAGUGGGGGAUAGCCCGGCGAAAGCCGGAUUAAUACCGCAUACGAUCUACGGAUGAAAGCGGGGGACCUUCGGGCCUCGCGCUAUAGGGUUGGCCGAUAGCUGAUUAGCUAGUUGGUGGGGUAAAGGCCUACCAAGGCGACGAUCAGUAGCUGGUCUGAGAGGACGACCAGCCACACUGGGACUGAGACACGGCCCAGACUCCUACGGGAGGCAGCAGUGGGGAAUUUUGGACAAUGGGCGAAGGCCUGAUCCAGCAAUGCCGCGUGUGUGAAGAAGGCCUUCGGGUUGUAAAGCACUUUUGUCCGGAAAGAAAUCCUUGGCUCUAAUACAGUCGGGGGAUGACGGUACCGGAAGAAUAAGCACCGGCUAACUACGUG